This 459-nucleotide ribosomal RNA is filed under the name uncultured bacterium. RNAcentral's name for it is "SSU rRNA". It matches the Rfam family "Bacterial small subunit ribosomal RNA", at positions 26 to 518 of the family's 1533-position model. The record is from RNAcentral.
AGAAUCAACGCUGGCGGCGUGCCUAACACAUGCAAGUCGAACGAGAAAGUGGAGCAAUCCAUGAGUAAAGUGGCGCACGGGUGAGUAACACGUGACUAACCUACCUUUUAGUGGGGGGAUAACCUAGGGAAACCUGGGCUAAUACCGCAUAACACUUACGAGUCAAAGCAGCAAUGCGCUGAAAGAGGGGGUCGCGGUCGAUUAGUUAGUUGGCAGGGUAAUGGCCUACCAAGACUGUGAUCGAUAUCCGGCCUGAGAGGGCGCACGGACACACUGGAACUGAAACACGGUCCAGACUCCUACGGGAGGCAGCAGUGGGGAAUUUUGCGCAAUGGGGGAAACCCUGACGCAGCAACGCCGCGUGGAGGAUGAAGUCCCUUGGGACGUAAACUCCUUUCGAUCGGGACGAUAAUGACGGUACGGAAGAAGAAGCCCGGCUAACUUCGUGCCAGCAGCCGC